Molecule: non-coding RNA, 190 nt
Organism: Oryza meridionalis
Lineage: Eukaryota; Viridiplantae; Streptophyta; Magnoliopsida; Poales; Poaceae
Source: Rfam
UUUAAGUGUAGUUGUAAGUUUUCAUGUUCAACGUUUGACCAUCCGUAUUAUAUAAUUUUUUUGUGAUUAGUAUUUUCGUUGUUAUUAGAUGAUAAAACAUGAAUCGUAAUUUGUGAUUUAUUUUUUAUUUUUUUUCAAAAUAAGAUGGAUGAUCAAAUAUUAAACACGAAUCCUCACAACUAUGAUUAAA